UACUCUCUUUCAAGUAAGAAGGGUGGAAGAAUAUUCUUCUUACUUCUUAAAGAUAUACAAUGCCUCUAUUUUUCUAUCCCAAUCUUCCCCAAAGGCAAAAAAGGAAUUUCUUUGUACUUUGCUAAAGACAUAAUGCAGCAAAACUCCUUUUUAAUUCUCAGGUCAUCAAGAACGCAGUGGAUGUGGAUGUGUUCAGAUCACAUACACUUGUUAAUUUCAUUUCUAUGGAGUUCAGAGGACAGGCAAAUGGGCUGCCCCCGCAAAGGAUCAAGGGAACAAGAUCUUGCAGAGAAGCAGAAACUGAGUCUGACCCGAUGGUCUGAGGAGGAGCUUUCCCAGGGCAGAAGUGGAAGCAAAACAAGUAGUUUUAUUUGGUGAACAGGAAAGACCAAUGGAAGUUUCCCAGAAAUAAGGUUCGCCAUUGCUUAAUUUAAAGGAGAGAUUUCCCCAGCAAGUUCCCCAGGUCUGUUGCUGCUGGGGGUGGAGAUCUGUCUUCAGGCACCUGGACAUCUUCCACUCCCAGCAAGGUCAGGUGGUUCCACAGAUGAAACGGAUCUACACGAAGUGUUCUCUCUGCCGGAAAAGUCUACUGCCUGCCUAUGUUGACUUGACUUAUUUAUUCAUUUUGGUGUAAUACGGAAGCUCUCUCUCUAGUUUUCCAAGGUAGUGGCAAAAAUUGCAAAGAUAAUUUUAGUUUUCAUCUUGAUGAGUUAAGGGAAAACUAUGGCAAAACAAAUGUGCUUAAAAACCCAAACCUGAGUCAAAUAAAUAAAUAAAUAUGAUGACAAACUGAAAUUAUGAAUGGUCCCUUGUUGGCUUUCUUGUGAAAGUCUCUAGGUCUCAAACUUGUCAUUGCAAAGGAUAGAAGGCCACUUAUGUCCUCUUCUUUUAUUGUGAUACCUUUUUAUAUGUAUUUUCUCCAUUCCUAUUUUUCCCUUCUACUCUUUUUUUUGGCUUAUUAUAUAUAAUUACAAUAAAUGAGGAUAAAUAUUUUGGGAUCUGAAUUUCAAAGAACUAUGUUUUGUCUUCACAAUGAAACAAAGUAACACAAAACCAGAGCCGUCCAAAUUUCUUUAUAAAAUCAGACAAGAAGAAAAAUGAGGGAUUAAGAUAUAAACAUAGUCAAUGAAAUUUUGGUGUAGAGAGUCGUAAGUUAUUGAGUACAUUUUCUAGAAAUAAAAUGCAGAACUCUUAAAGUGGGUGUUGGAAUUAUUCAGGAUAAUUAUUAUCUUGAACUCAAAUUUAAUUUUUUUCUUUCCCCUUCUCUUUUUUGUACCCAAAUGUGAGAAUGAAAUUUUAGGCAAGGAACGGAAAGAGUAAACUACAUGAAAAAUUUGAAUAAUGAGUUAAGUAUAAAAUAAUAAAGACAUUAAGUAUAUAAUUAGAAUGUCCUAUUUAAAUAAGAAUAUCGUUGCUUCUUUAGUGUGGCCUUCUGCUUUGUUGAAGUUCUGUGUCUUUUUAUUCUACUAUAAAAAGAUGUUGUAUUGCCUCAUUUGACAUUUUCUUCAUAUAUUCAAACCAUUCAUAUUAUGGGAAAAAGAAAAGCAUUGUGAAAAUAUUUGUCACUUCAUUGGAAAGAAAGUGUCUUUUUUUUUUUUUUUUUUUUUUUUCUACAUCAAAAUGAAGCUUUCACAAGGAGAAAGACCUGAAGUGGAAAAUAAUGCCUGGGAAGUUUGUAGCAUGAGAGCAGAGGCCAGCACUGUGCACAUGAUUGUGCUUCCUAAAGUCCCUUGACUUUGCAUGGAAGGUCACAUAUUUUUUAAAAUGACACUAAUUUAGAAAUUCACAGGAAACCUGUGAUAUAUGACAUUUUUCAUACUCAAAUGCUGCUAAACUUAGAAGUAAAUUGAGAAAUCAAAAUACAAGUCAAAAGUACUCCCCAUGUAUCUGUCUAUAUCUGUUGACUUUGGCUAAGAUCUUUUCUUUCAAGAAAACUAAAAGGCUUGGUUAUUUAGUUCAUAUCACUUGUAAAACAAUAAACACGAUCUUAAUAAUUGCAUUUUAUUUUUUUAAAAUGCUCGAAUCCUCAGCUUAUUUUAUUUUCAAUUAAAGGCAAAAGUCUACUAAUCUGGAUCUACUUGUAAAAUAUGUAAUUGCUACUUCUGAAGUGACUGCUGAUUUGCAUCCAUCUACUUAUUCAAGUGAGCAGGUUAACAAACGUUAACUAAAAAUGAAUGCCUGUUCCCUGUUGAACUUGGCACUUAAUGAUGUAGUCAGAUGAAGACUAACAAACUAGCCAUCCAUCCCUGGCCCUGCCUAAAGGGUUCUAGUUAGCUCACUGAAACAUGCAGGGUUCAAAGGACUG
Cavia porcellus (domestic guinea pig) is the source of this 2305-nucleotide long non-coding RNA. RefSeq lists it as uncharacterized. Lineage: Eukaryota; Metazoa; Chordata; Mammalia; Rodentia; Caviidae. The record is from RefSeq and is a predicted model, not a curated record. The transcript has 3 exons.